Molecule: transfer RNA, 66 nt
Filed under: Ictidomys tridecemlineatus (thirteen-lined ground squirrel)
Lineage: Eukaryota; Metazoa; Chordata; Mammalia; Rodentia; Sciuridae
Description: Spermophilus tridecemlineatus (thirteen-lined ground squirrel) tRNA
Rfam family: tRNA
About the family: Transfer RNA (tRNA) molecules are approximately 80 nucleotides in length.
Source: Rfam by way of RNAcentral
GCUGGGAAAGCUCAGUGGUAGAGCAUGUGCUUAGCAUACACAAGGCCAUGGGUCCAAUUCCUAGCA